This 373-nucleotide ribosomal RNA is filed under the name uncultured bacterium. RNAcentral describes it as "bacterial SSU rRNA". It matches the Rfam family "Bacterial small subunit ribosomal RNA", at positions 527 to 898 of the family's 1533-position model. The record is from RNAcentral.
GUAGGGGGCUAGCGUUGUCCGGAAUCAUUGGGCGUAAAGCGCGCGUAGGCGGCCCGGUAAGUCCGCUCUGAAAGUCCAGGGCUCAACCCUGGAAAGCGGGUGGAUACUGCCGGGCUAGAGUCCGGAAGAGGCGAGUGGAAUUCCUGGUGUAGCGGUGGAAUGCGCAGAUAUCAGGAGGAACACCAACAGCGAAGGCAGCUCGCUGGGACGGUACUGACGCUGAGGCGCGAAAGCGUGGGGAGCGAACAGGAUUAGAUACCCUGGUAGUCCACGCCGUAAACGAUGGGCACUAGGUGUGGGAGGUGUCGACUCCUCCCGUGCCGACGCUAACGCAUUAAGUGCCCCGCCUGGGGAGUACGGCCGCAAGGCUAAA